CCUACGGGGGGCUGCAGUGAGGAAUAUUGGUCAAUGGGCGCGAGCCUGAACCAGCCAAGUAGCGUGAAGGAUGACUGCCCUACGUGUUGUAAACUUCGUUUAUAAAGGAAUAAAGUGAGGCACGUGUGCCUUUUUGUAUGUACUUUAUGAAUAAGGAUCGGCUAACUCAGUGCCAGCAGCCGCGGUAAUACGGAGGGUCCGAGCGUUAUCCGGAUUUAUUGUGGUUAAAGGGAGCGUAGAUGGGUUGUUAAGUCAGUUGUGAAAGUGUGCGGCUCAACCGUAAAAUUGCAAUUGAUACUGGCAGCCUUGAGUACAGUUGAGGUAGGCGGAAUUCGUGGUGUAGCGGUGAAAUGCUGAGAUAUCACGAAGAACUCCGAUUGCGAAGGCAGCCUACUAAACUGCCACUGACAUUGAUGCUCGAAAGUGUGGGUAUCAAACAGGAUUAGAUACCCGGGUAGUC
Molecule: ribosomal RNA, 460 nt
Filed under: uncultured bacterium
Lineage: Bacteria
Description: partial 16S ribosomal RNA
Rfam family: Bacterial small subunit ribosomal RNA
Source: RNAcentral